This 493-nucleotide ribosomal RNA is filed under the name uncultured bacterium. RNAcentral describes it as "partial 16S ribosomal RNA". It matches the Rfam family "Bacterial small subunit ribosomal RNA", at positions 28 to 506 of the family's 1533-position model. The record is from RNAcentral.
GACGAACGCUGGCGGCGUGCUCAACACAUGCAAGUCGAACGGUGAAGCGCCUUCCUUUUUGGUGGGUGUGGAUGAGUGGCGAACGGGUGAGUAACACGUGAGUAACCUGCCCCCUUCUUCUGGAUAACCGCAUGAAAGUGUCGCUAAUACGGGAUAUUCUGGGUCUGUCGCAUGAUGGGUCUGGGAAAGAUAUUGUUUCGGUGGGGGAUGGGCUCGCGGCCUAUCAGCUUGUUGGUGGGGUGAUGGCCUACCAAGGCGGUGGCGGGUAGCCGGGCUGAGAGGGUGGACGGUCACACUGGGACUGAGACACGGCCCAGACUCCUAAGGGAGGCAGGAGUGGGGAAUAUUGCAAGAUGGGCGCAAGCCUGAUGCAGCGACGCCGCGUGAGGGAUGGAGGCCUUCGGGUUGUGAACCUCUUUCGCCAGUGAAGCAGGCCUGCCUCGUUUGUGGGUGGGUUGACAGUAGCUGGAUAAGAAGCGCCGGCUAACUACGU